RNAcentral lists this ribosomal RNA (509 nucleotides) under uncultured bacterium. Its description in RNAcentral is "bacterial SSU rRNA". It matches the Rfam family "Bacterial small subunit ribosomal RNA", at positions 19 to 518 of the family's 1533-position model. The record is from RNAcentral.
CUGGCUCAGGAUGAACGCUAGCUACAGGCUUAACACAUGCAAGUCGAGGGGCAGCAUGAGAUUAGCUUGCUAAUCUUGAUGGCGACCGGCGCACGGGUGAGUAACGCGUAUCCAACCUUCCCCCUACUCAGGCAUAGCCCGGUGAAAACCGGAUUAACUCCUGAUAGUUUCACUAGAUGGCAUCUGACGGUGAAUAAAGCUCAGCGGUAAGGGAUGGGGAUGCGUCUGAUUAGCUUGUUGGCGGGUAACGGCCCACCAAGGCGACGAUCAGUAGGGGUUCUGAGAGGAAGGUCCCCCACAUUGGAACUGAGACACGGUCCAAACUCCUACGGGAGGCAGCAGUGAGGAAUAUUGGUCAAUGGGCGCGAGCCUGAACCAGCCAAGUAGCCGUGCAGGAAGACGGCCCUAUGGGUUGUAAACUGCUUUUGUGCGGGAAUAAAGUCAGGGACGUGUCCCUGUUUGCAUGUACCGCAAGAAUAAGGACCGGCUAAUUCCGUGCCAGCCGCGGC